Molecule: long non-coding RNA, 554 nt
Organism: Hippoglossus stenolepis (Pacific halibut)
Lineage: Eukaryota; Metazoa; Chordata; Actinopteri; Pleuronectiformes; Pleuronectidae
Exons: 3
Source: RefSeq, a predicted model, not a curated record
GAAAUCCAGUUGUAGUCCCACAUGAGAUGGAGGCUCAGACAGUCACGUGUGGUUUUUCUGGCCCUGAUAAAACAUGUUUCUACAAGUAACCCUAUAAGUCCCUUUAAACUAGAACCUGGUUGGCUGCCAGCUACUGAGGGAUCCUGCUCUGAAAUUAAAUGCCAAGUCACAAGAGAUGUUGAUGAUCAUGAUGCAAACUGGUUUUGGAUGAAAGAUAGACGAUGGGUCGACAGUGAAAAAGACUUUACAUCCACUGUCAUUUACAGCACAAACACCUUGACACGUCCGGUCAGUCCUGACUUUGCAAACAGAGUGAAAUACAUCGGUUCUUCAUCUUCAAGUUGGAGGAAUAGUUACUCUGCCUGGCCGAAGCCACUGUGCAGUAUUUUGAUCUGUGACCUGAGAACAAGUGACAGCGGAAAGUAUUCUUUGAGAUUCGUAGGGUGGAAAACUUGGUCAUCUGAAGAAGUGACCCUCGACGUUACCGUAAACCGAUGCCCGCUCACUUUUGAGGGACCAGCUGUCGUGGUGGAGUCCGACUGAGGUCACACUCA